This 440-nucleotide ribosomal RNA is filed under the name uncultured bacterium. Its description in RNAcentral is "partial 16S ribosomal RNA". It matches the Rfam family "Bacterial small subunit ribosomal RNA", at positions 338 to 795 of the family's 1533-position model. The record is from RNAcentral.
CCUACGGGAGGCAGCAGUGGGGAAUAUUGCACAAUGGGGGAAACCCUGAUGCAGCGACGCCGCGUGAGUGAAGAAGGAUCUCGGUACGUAAAGCUCCAUCAGCAGGGGAGAAAAUGACGGUACCUGACUAAGAAGCCCAGGCUAACUACGUGCCAGCAGCGGCGGUAAUACGUAGGGUGCCAGCGUUAUCCGGAUUGACUGGGUGUAAAGGGAGCGUAGACGGCCGCACAAGUCUGGAGUGAAAUCCCGGGGCUUAACCCCGGAACUGCUUUUGAAACUGUGCGGCUGGAGUGCAGGAGGGGUAAGCGGAAUUCCUGGUGUAGCGGUGAAAUGCGUAGAUAUUAGGAGGAACACCGGUGGCGAAGGCGGCUUACUGGACUGUAACUGACGUUGAGGCUCGAAAGCGUGGGGAGCAAACAGGAUUAGAUACCCGUGUAGUC